Molecule: ribosomal RNA, 490 nt
Filed under: uncultured bacterium
Lineage: Bacteria
Description: partial 16S ribosomal RNA
Rfam family: Bacterial small subunit ribosomal RNA
Source: RNAcentral
AUUGAACGCUGGCGGCAGGCCUAACACAUGCAAGUCGAACGGUAACAGGAAGCAGCUUGCUGCUUCGCUGACGAGUGGCGGACGGGUGAGUAAUGUCUGGGAAGCUGCCUGAUGGAGGGGGAUAACUACUGGAAACGGUAGCUAAUACCGCAUAAUGUCGCAAGACCAAAGAGGGGGACCUUCGGGCCUCUUGCCAUCGGAUGUGCUCAGAUGGGAUUAGCUUGUUGGUGGGGUAACGGCUCACCAAGGCGACGAUCCCUAGCUGGUCUGAGAGGAUGACCAGCCACACUGGGACUGAGACACGGUCCAGACUCCUACGGGAGGCAGCAGUGGGGAAUAUUGCACAAUGGGCGCAAGCCUGAUGCAGCCAUGCCGCGUGUACGAAGAAGGCCUUCGGGUUGUAAAGUACUUUCAGCGGGGAGGAAGGGAGUAAAGUUAAUACCUUUGCUCAUUGACGUUACCCGCAGAAGAAGCACCGGCUAACUCCGUG